This is a long non-coding RNA of Empidonax traillii (willow flycatcher), 140 nucleotides long. RefSeq lists it as uncharacterized. The record is from RefSeq and is a predicted model, not a curated record. The transcript has 3 exons. NCBI's taxonomy places the organism in Eukaryota, Metazoa, Chordata, Aves, Passeriformes, Tyrannidae.
CCAUUUGUUCUGGAUGUUACUAAGUUUCUGUUGGAGCUUACUGCAUGCAAGAAGAAAGGCUACUUUUCUUACAUAGCAAGAUGGCUGAGCAAGGUGUGCUUGGUGAGCAGUUCUCUUCUUUAACAACAAUUCCUGGAUCU